RNAcentral lists this non-coding RNA (46 nucleotides) under Schistosoma haematobium. Lineage: Eukaryota; Metazoa; Platyhelminthes; Trematoda; Strigeidida; Schistosomatidae. The record is from RNAcentral.
GCACCAUUGAAGAGUCCCACAAUAGGACGAAACGGAAGUGUGGUGC